Long non-coding RNA from Anas platyrhynchos (mallard), 1226 nucleotides. RefSeq lists it as uncharacterized. The record is from RefSeq and is a predicted model, not a curated record. Lineage: Eukaryota; Metazoa; Chordata; Aves; Anseriformes; Anatidae.
CAAAACUCCUUGAAAACACAGGGCUACCCUUAGUCAGAACAUAAGUUCUGCAGUUUAUUUCACUCCCUUCUGUAGUUUCAGGAAGAUUUUUCUUCCACACACCUCCUCUUCUCACACAGAAAUACUGCAACCAUGAUAACAAAAAAGGAAAACAUUUGGUUUUGGCAGCAUUCCAAUGAAAUGAGAAAAUUUGGCGUCUGUGAAGUUUUUGUGAAGGUAUUCAGCAAUGCCAUACUGACAGCCUGCUUUAGAUAUGCAGAGUGAAACAGCUGGUGACCUGCCAUCAGGAACGCUAGUCAAUUAACUGCUUCAUUUUUUUUCCAGUCAAAUCUACAGGCAGUAAUGUCCAGGAGCUUAUUUCUUUCAUCUAUUACUCUCUGCCAGAUUAUAUCAAAGUUGCCAUAUUCUACCAACGAAAUUUUAUCCAAAUUCUAGUGAGCAAAACUAGAAAUAUGUUCCACCUGGCAAUGUGCACUGAGACAAAUUGGAUUGAACUGCUGGCAGUUAUUCUUCAGUAAUCCCAGUAAGAUUGCACAAGAGAACAGCCUAAGAAAACUGGAAUAUGUUGUACCUCAUUAACCAUUCCUCUUAUCAAGACUCUGCUGCCUGCCUUCUCCUAAACAGAUACCCCUCCAGCUCUGGGUGGAAUCCUGAAUGUGAUUAUUUCUAUUGAAUUCAAAAUAAUAAACUGCACACCAGUGACAUUCAUCAGAGAGGAGGACCAUUUGAGUCAACACUGGAGAGAAUAAUGCCCUUCACCUUUGAAUCCAAAGCUGCAUGGAUAUGGAGUGCCAUAAAAGCCACUAACUGCUUAAGUCAGAAGUUUGACAGAAGAAUUCUGAAGACUUUAAAAUGCUGAAAAGAAGCAUCCUGUGCAGCCAGCUGAAUGGUGAGGUGAUAAAAGAUUGAACCAAAUUUGCUGGAGCACAAAGGAAAAUCAGAAGCCUGCAGCUCAGUGAUAACUAUGGAAACUGAUACAUGGUCCAUCAUCUGUAGAUCACCAGAAUAUGUAUUCAGAAGUUACAGUGAGAAAAUAUAGUAGGAGACGAUGCACUUCAUAGCACAGCUGAUUUUCUUUUCAUUAUUAGAUUAAAACAUUAUUGAUUUGAUACACCUAAAUUACGCAUGUCGUAUUAAAGGCAUUCGAAUAAAGAACUGCUGCUACUAAAUGAAAGCUGUGGUUGAAUUCAUAUUUUUAAAAGGAAGUCAGAGAAUAUCGACUUCAA